Molecule: ribosomal RNA, 453 nt
Filed under: uncultured bacterium
Lineage: Bacteria
Description: bacterial SSU rRNA
Rfam family: Bacterial small subunit ribosomal RNA
Source: RNAcentral
AUUGAACGCUGGCGGAAUGCUUUACACAUGCAAGUCGAACGCCCCGCAAGGGGAGUGGCAGACGGGUGAGUAACGCGUGGGAACGUACCUUUCAGUUCGGAAUAACUCAGGGAAACUUGUGCUAAUACCGGAUACGCCCGCAAGGGGAAAGAUUUAUCGCUGAAAGAUCGGCCCGCGUUGGAUUAGCUAGUUGGUGGGGUAAAGGCCUACCAAGGCGACGAUCCAUAGCUGGUCUGAGAGGAUGAUCAGCCACACUGGGACUGAGACACGGCCCAGACUCCUACGGGAGGCAGCAGUGGGGAAUUUUGGACAAUGGGGAAACCCUGAUCCAGCCAUGCCGCGUGCAGGAUGAAGGCCUUCGGGUUGUAAACUGCUUUUGUACGGAACGAAAGUCUCUUCCUAAUACGAAGGGUGAUGACGGUACCGUAAGAAUAAGCACCGGCUAACUACGUG